AACGAGGCCGACCUGCGGCUGAGUUACCUGCGGAGGGAUCAUUAUAGAGUGGUAAACCCUCCGUUAAAGGGGGGGACCUCCUGUCCUUUGUAGGCUCUUUUUAGGGCUUUUUUAAUUUUCUGCUUCGGUGGGGUUAUCCUACCGGAACAACCUCAAAACUCUGAUCAAAAAAUCGUUCUGUCUGAGAACCUUUUAUAAUAAAAAAAAACUUUUAGCAAUGGAUCUCAGAUCGGAAGAGCA
RNAcentral lists this unclassified non-coding RNA (240 nucleotides) under soil metagenome. Its description in RNAcentral is "partial contains 5.8S ribosomal RNA, internal transcribed spacer 2, and large subunit ribosomal RNA". The record is from RNAcentral.